Molecule: long non-coding RNA, 1593 nt
Organism: Populus trichocarpa (black cottonwood)
Lineage: Eukaryota; Viridiplantae; Streptophyta; Magnoliopsida; Malpighiales; Salicaceae
Exons: 4
Source: RefSeq, a predicted model, not a curated record
UGAACAUCUUUUUUGCUUGCUGUUCUUUGUUUCUUUUUCUGUGAUGGGAAGAGGCGAUGAAGCUUCUUGAUUUUGCUAUUGUUUUGAUAAUAGAUUAUUGAUGUCUCUAAUGAUGAUAAAAAAACUGUCGUUCUUCUGACAAUUUACAACCAUGUGGAAGUAUUUUAUGGAGACCUGAACUGAAGGGAUAUCUUCUUCUUCUUUUGUAUUUCACACAUAUUGAUAUUCUUAAAACCAGCAUUCGAUAAUGUUUUUGUUGCCUCUAAUGAUGAUGCUUAUUAUACUUUCGUUGUUCCGAGACUUUCCGUGCGGAAAUAUUUUUGGAGACCUGAACUGAAGAGGCUUAAUUCUGAUUGUUGUCUUGAAACUAUUUUGAAUUCAAAGUGUUUCUGGUUUUAUCCUGGAUCGUAGAAGUUUCCGUUUGAAUUUGCCUCUGUAUAGUCUUUAAUCUUGCUUCAAGCAGAGAUUUUGAUGUUUUAUACGUGAUUAGAAACUCUGAUCUGUAAUUUUUUUCAUCAAAUUAUCAUUUUUUGAUCAUGUUCACAUCACCGAGGUUUAUGUUGUUGACAUUCCGUGUUCUGUAUCUUUUUUAUUAGUAUCAUAUAUUAUAUUACUGCUCCUUGGUAGUACUCUUUUCUUUCCAUUUAUUCCCGAUCAAAAUCUUGUCAUAAGGGACUUUCGGUUCUGUUUUUCCCCCCAUUGAAGUACGUUUGGUUAACAAGCUGUCUUUUUUGUUUAAAUUCUAUUGGGAGUCCUUUUUUUUUCGAAGUAGCUUAUAUGAAGUGAUGCUGUUACAGCAUGUGAACCCAACCCUGCUUGCCAGAAGAUGGAUUUCUUACGGCUGCCUCAUUCAAGUUGGUGGCCAUUGAAGAGGUAGAUUAAAGUGUCCCACCUUUGUUCAAGAUGAGCCAGCCAAUGGAGGAAGAUGCACCAAUGUGUUGACAAGUUGAACAGCUGCUCCUCUAUCGUGUCAUGGUCAUGAGCAGCAUCAACAAAAGGCCAAAUUCACUUUUCAAAUCCCGACAAACCUUGAAGGUCCAGUCCCAGAGCAUGAUGAUCUGCAAAAUUGCACCCCUGAUUUAUAUUAUCCAGAAUCACAAGAUACCGUAACCUUGUUACUAGCAUAAUUUUUACUUUCUGGUCGCUCUUUUUCUAGGUGAUGAAAGAAAAAUGCUUGGUUUCCUUUUACUUGAGUUGAUUCUAUACUAUCUUAAAAUUAGCUGUUGUACCACACAAAACCAAAAUUACUGAAACGAAGGUCUAUAAUUACAUGUAUACUGGUUUAAGCUAGGAUUGGAGAAGCCAGGUCCAAGAAGAGCACUACAGAUAGUGCACUAACUAUCGUAGAAGUUUCCCUCAUUCCAUGCAUGUUCAUUCCAAGAGCUCAAGAUGCUGUGGUUGCUAAUCUUCGGCUAUGCCAAGGGUUACUUCACUGGUAAUAAACCCUUUAGAAGUGCUUUGCCAACUGCCGCCCUUAUCGAUGCCAUUGCUUCUGCUGCAGCAUUUGGUAUGGCUAAGGCUGUCCACCCAUAAUUCUCCUAGUUCCUAUCAUGUAAUCCCAACAAUUCAAAUAAUUGCACCAGUUUUUUCCCC